UGUUGUUUGAGUGCAAACCG
Molecule: microRNA, 20 nt
Filed under: Pristionchus pacificus
Lineage: Eukaryota; Metazoa; Nematoda; Chromadorea; Rhabditida; Neodiplogasteridae
Description: ppc-miR-2256
Source: miRBase by way of RNAcentral